Nematostella vectensis (starlet sea anemone) is the source of this 340-nucleotide long non-coding RNA. RefSeq lists it as uncharacterized. The record is from RefSeq and is a predicted model, not a curated record. The transcript has 2 exons. NCBI's taxonomy places the organism in Eukaryota, Metazoa, Cnidaria, Anthozoa, Actiniaria, Edwardsiidae.
CAGAUGACUUCAUGUCGUAUGCCACCUAAAUGAAGGCUAUAUGCAGGCGUUUCCGAAACAGCUUUUAAUGAUGAAUGUCUGUUCCAAAAAGGUCAAGUGCUACAAGACCCGCUCUCUGUGAGACUGAUCGUAGUUACACCACCGUCGAUGGCUAGUUAUAUUUUCUUUUUUCACAUCUAUUGUCUGAUCGUUUGUGAACUUAACAAAUUCGAAAUGAUCCGAUUAUCGCUCGCUACCGUUACGUUUGAACUACAACAUCUAGUCAGCGGGCGUUCUUUUAUAGACACAAAUCAUUUAUCAUUAGCAAAAAUACGCCGGCGGCAAAUAAAAAAAAAACGAC